This 760-nucleotide ribosomal RNA is filed under the name uncultured bacterium. Its description in RNAcentral is "bacterial SSU rRNA". It matches the Rfam family "Bacterial small subunit ribosomal RNA", at positions 8 to 796 of the family's 1533-position model. The record is from RNAcentral.
AGAGUUUGAUCCUGGCUCAGGACGAACGCUGGCGGCGUGCUUAACACAUGCAAGUCGAGCGGACCUUCGGGUUAGCGGCGAACGGGUGAGUAACACGUGGGCAACCUGCCCCGAGCUCUGGAAUAACUCCGGGAAACCGGGGCUAAUGCCGGAUAUUCACACUUCCGGGCAUCUGGUGGUGUGGAAAGAUUUAUUGGCUUGGGAUGGGCCCGCGGCCUAUCAGCUUGUUGGUGGGGUGACGGCCUACCAAGGCGACGACGGGUAGCCGGCCUGAGAGGGCGACCGGCCACACUGGGACUGAGACACGGCCCAGACCCCUACGGGAGGCAGCAGUGGGGAAUAUUGCGCAAUGGGCGAAAGCCUGACGCAGCGACGCCGCGUGAGGGAUGACGGCCUUCGGGUUGUAAACCUCUUUCAGCAGGGACGAAGCGUAAGUGACGGUACCUGCAGAAGAAGCACCGGCCAACUACGUGCCAGCAGCCGCGGUAAUACGUAGGGUGCAAGCGUUGUCCGGAAUUAUUGGGCGUAAAGAGCUCGUAGGCGGCUUGUCGCGUCGGCUGUGAAAACCCGGGGCUCAACCCCGGGCCUGCAGUCGAUACGGGCAGGCUAGAGUCCGGUAGGGGAGACUGGAAUUCCUGGUGUAGCGGUGAAAUGCGCAGAUAUCACAGGAACACCGGUGGCGAAGGCGGGUCUCUGGGCCGGAACUGACGCUACGAGCGAAAGCGUGGGGAGCGAACAGGAUUAGAUACCCUGGUAGUCC